GGUUAAGUCCCGCAACGAGCGCAACCCCUAUCUUUAGUUGNCAUCAGGUUGNGCUGGGCACUCUAGAGAGACUGCCGGUGACAAGCCGGAGGAAGGUGGGGAUGACGUCAAGUCCUCAUGGCCCUUAUGUCCUGGGCUACACACGUGCUACAAUGGCGGUGACAGUGGGAAGCUAGGUGGUGACACCAUGCUGAUCUCUAAAAGCCGUCUCAGUUCGGAUUGCACUCUGCAACUCGAGUGCAUGAAGGUGGAAUCGCUAGUAAUCGCGGAUCAGCAUGCCGCGGUGAAUACGUUCCCGGGUCUUGUACACAC
This 312-nucleotide ribosomal RNA is filed under the name uncultured bacterium. Its description in RNAcentral is "bacterial SSU rRNA". It matches the Rfam family "Bacterial small subunit ribosomal RNA", at positions 1078 to 1390 of the family's 1533-position model. The record is from RNAcentral.